This is a long non-coding RNA of Mesocricetus auratus (golden hamster), 208 nucleotides long. RefSeq lists it as uncharacterized. The transcript has 2 exons. Lineage: Eukaryota; Metazoa; Chordata; Mammalia; Rodentia; Cricetidae. The record is from RefSeq and is a predicted model, not a curated record.
GGGAAGGAGACGCUGUCUCUCUGGGUUCCGGUAGGGUCUCAGAGAGCCACGGAGCGCUGACCUUGGGUUUUUGGCUUCUCAUAUUUUAUUUGGAGAAUACCGAGCUUCUGCGACAGAACUCUGGUUGGCGCUACAUCUGUGCCACCUGCUGGCCAAACGUAGUUACUGCAAGCAAAAAAUCGACACCUCAAUCAGAGAUGACUGGAGG